Molecule: ribosomal RNA, 468 nt
Filed under: uncultured bacterium
Lineage: Bacteria
Description: partial 16S ribosomal RNA
Rfam family: Bacterial small subunit ribosomal RNA
Source: RNAcentral
GACGAACGCUGGCGGCGUGCUUAACACAUGCAAGUCGAACGGAAAGGCCCUGCUCUUGUUGCGUUCUCGAUUGGCGAACGGGUGAGUAACACGUGAGGAACCUGCCCUUGACUUUGUGAUAACUUCUGGAAACUCGGGCUAAUAUCGGAUAGGAUCUCCUGCUGCAUGGUGUGGGGUGGUAAAUGUCGGCGGUUGGGGAUGGUAUGGCUGGUUAUGAGCUGGUUUGUGGGGUAGUGGAUGACCAAGGUUUUGAAGGGUAGGCGACAUGGGAGGGUGAACGGGCACCAUGGGACUGCGAUACGGACCAGAAUCCUACCGGCGGCAGCAGUGGGGAGUCUUGCGCAAUGGGCGGAAGCCUGAUGCAGCAGUGCCGCGUGCGGGAUGAUGGCCUUCGGGUUGUAAACAGCUUUCGACUGUGACGAAGCGUGAGUGACGGUAAUGGGUAAAGAAGCACCGGCUAACUACGUG